RNAcentral lists this ribosomal RNA (395 nucleotides) under uncultured bacterium. RNAcentral's name for it is "partial 16S ribosomal RNA". It matches the Rfam family "Bacterial small subunit ribosomal RNA", at positions 338 to 730 of the family's 1533-position model. The record is from RNAcentral.
CCUACGGGUGGCAGCAGUGAGGAAUAUUGGUCAAUGGACGGGAGCCUGAACCAGCCAAGUCGCGUGCAGGAAGACGGUCCUAUGAGUUGUAAACCUCUUUUGUCAGGGGGCAAACAUGACUACGUGUAUUCCGCCGAAAGUACCGGACGAAAAAGGAUCGGCUAACUCCGUGCCAGCAGCCGCGGUAAUACGGAGGAUGCGAGCGUUAUCCGGAUUUAUUGGGUUUAAAGGGUGCGUAGGCGGAAUGGGAAGUUCGGGGGGAAAUGUGCGAGCUUAAACCGGGAACUGCCGCUGAAACUGUUGAUCUAGAGAGUGCGUGCAGUAGGCGGAAUGCGUGGUGUAGCGGUGAAAUGCAUAGAUAUCAUACAGAACACCGAUUGCGAAGGCAGCAUACC